GAUGAACGCUGGCGGCGUGCCUAAUACAUGCAAGUCGAGCGAACGGACGAGAAGCUUGCUUCUCUGAUGUUAUCGGCGGACGGGUGAGUAACACGUGGAUAACCUACCUAUAAGACUGGGAUAACUUCGGGAAACCGUAGCUAAGACCGGAUAAUAUUUUGAACCGCAUGGUUCAAAAUUGAAAGACGGUCUUGCUGUCACUUAUAGAUGGAUCCGCGCUGCAUUAGCUAGUUGGUAAGGUAACGGCUUACCAAGGCAACGAUGCAUAGCCGACCUGAGAGGGUGAUCGGCCACACUGGAACUGAGACACGGUCCAGACUCCUACGGGAGGCAGCAGUAGGGAAUCUUCCGCAAGGGGCGAAAGCCUGACGGAGCAACGCCGCGUGAGUGAUGAAGGUCUUCGGAUCGUAAAACUCUGUUAUUAGGGAAGAACAUAUGUGUAAGUAACUGUGAACAUCUUGACGGUACCUAAUCAGAAAGCCACGGCUAACUACGUG
This 497-nucleotide ribosomal RNA is filed under the name uncultured bacterium. Its description in RNAcentral is "partial 16S ribosomal RNA". It matches the Rfam family "Bacterial small subunit ribosomal RNA", at positions 28 to 507 of the family's 1533-position model. The record is from RNAcentral.